This 4285-nucleotide long non-coding RNA is filed under the name Solanum lycopersicum (tomato). RNAcentral describes it as "partial TCONS_00156279". The record is from RNAcentral. Lineage: Eukaryota; Viridiplantae; Streptophyta; Magnoliopsida; Solanales; Solanaceae.
GUUAAACAUUAAUAAAACAUUGACUUCACUUUCUUCUUUCAGCUUUCCUUUUCACAUUUCUCUUUUCAGCAGAAGAAUUGGCCGGUUCCAUUGUCCCGAUACAGGCUGAAGAACUAAAGGUUUGAGGUGAAGAGAUGUGAAGAUAGCUGAAGAACUAGUUCGCUUUUCUGAUACAAGCUGAAGAGUUGAUGAACUGAGCUGAAGAGUUGAACGAUUCCUUAAAGAAAAUGUAUACUGUUGGGUUGUUGACAUGAUGAUGAACUGAAGCUAAUUAGUCUCUCCGUCACACUGUUCUCUCAAGUGUCUCAUUGAAGAACACAAUUUCAAAGAGAUUUUGUUGGAUUUGGGUUUAUCAGGUUUUGCUGAGAGGAAACUAAGAUUAUGCAGACAUCAAAGUCAAGGUAUUUCUUAUCUCUUAACUGUAAAAUGACUAUAUUUCAUCCUUGAAAUAAUGACAUACAAUGUCAUACAAUUUUGUAGUUAUUAUUAUGUAUUUAUUAGAAUCAAGAAUGGUAACAAGGUACUCGAAACUCGAAACUCACAAUAAUUCUGAUCAUCCCAUAACAUAUGAUUCUGAUUCUGAUUAUUUGAAGGCUCAAGGUGAAUUAUUAAGGUGUGUGCUUCAUUCUCUUGAGCUUCCUCAUCCUGAAGUUUUUUAUCCAUGUUUUUUUCUAAAAAAUAGCUACCCUUAGCAAUAGAGGGUAUUGUUUUUCUGUGUAGUAUUGAUCAAUAAUGUCCAAUAUGUGGCUUCAUUUAGAUAGUUAGUUAGUUGUUUAGUUUUCUUCCCUCUAAAUAUGUUUGCACCAAAAGAAUUCAAACCUACAAAUGAGUUGCUGGAGCUUUUGUACUAGAUGUUGCAUUUCCAGUGACUGCUGUAAUUUUACUUCCUAACUACUGAGUAUUGAUGAAUAAUUUCCAGUAUGUGUCUUCAUUUUACUGCUGUAAUUUUAUUUACUGACUGCAUUUGUCCAUGAGUAAUAUCAGUUCUGUCAAGUUGUUUGGCCAUUUAAAAUAUGAAAAGAAUGUGGUGAGAAUGUAUUUAAUAUCUUUGAAACUUCAGAAAUUCACUUUGACUAUACUGCACUAUUGCCCUCCAUAUUUAGCCGCGUAUCUGUUUUAUCCAUAAAUUCCAACUAAUAAAAUAGGUAGGAAAUGAAUCAUGAUCUUUUGAGCCUCAUUAUAAUGAUUCAUAUUCCACCAUCUCGUUAAGUAAUUUUUUAGAGCAAUGUGUCUAUGAACUUUUCAAAAAAGGCAACAAAGAAGCUCCAACUGUGAACUUUAAAGGGAUUGUAUAUUUUACUUAAAGAGAUGAAAAGCUGAAGAUACAGAGGUAGGGAUGGAAGAAAUCAAGAGUGGAAGCUGAAGAACUCAAGUGCUGAGAUUCCUUUUCAUUCUCUAGUAAUCUGUACAACCAAUUUGUGAAGGUAAGAACUGAUUUUCUAGUAAUCUGUAGAUCUGCAAAUAGUAAAUUGGUUGAAUGUUCAUUUUGUGUUUAGAAGAAAUUGAUUACUUUUGGGGUUCUUACAACUGAAAUUUCAAAUUAGGAAAAGAAGAAAAAUUUGUAGUCAAGCGUAGUUAGUAGGUUUCUUGCCUAUAUUUGUGUAUGGAAGGAGGAAAAUGUCUGUGGGUUUUGUGAUUAAGUUUUUUGGUUUUUUUUUGGUCUUGGAAUUCCAUGAAAAUAUACAGAUUCUAAUAUUGAACCUGAACAAUUUCUUUACACUGCAAAAACUAAUAGAAAAUGGGGCCUCAGAGUUCAAAAAAAUGAACAAUAACUCAAGGCUGCUAAGCCACUGAGAGGGAGCUAAUAAAUAUUAAAAGUACAGUUAACUAAAAAUUGCUUCGAUCUGGGGGAAGCAUCUCGUUGUGAGUUUUGACUUUCGUUCAAAUUAUGUCUGUAUUUUCUGCUCGUUUAACUGUAUUUUCUGCUAAUGAGCACGAUCCAGGUUUCUUCUAAGAUGCAUUAGUUCAUUUAUAUCCUUAAAUUGAUCAAGAGUUUGGUGAACUAUGUGGCAGCUAGUAUUCAUUUCAAUGCAAAUUUUGGAGUUAUUACUUGUUAGUUUGGGAGAUUGAUUGAGUCAAUGCAUAUCUUCAAGAUGAAUUAAUAUGCUUUGCUUCAAUUGUUUUUAACAUUUUUUAGUUGUGAAUGUAUCUGCAAUAUCAUUUGAUUUCGACAUUGCAAUAUCGUCAAAGGGGUUUAAAUAUAAGCAUAAAUCUUGGCUAUUUCCUUUUUUUUUGGAGUCACUACCUCAACACAAUAGAUGUGUCUAAUAUUUGUUCUCGAGUUGCAAGUUCCAACUCAUGAUAUAUGAUAAUAAUUCUUCAUAGUUCUGCUCUUAAUCUAGAACAUAGCUUCAUAUUUUCAGAUGUUUCAGAUUUCUGUCCAUAUUUGCUUCUAAGUGAGUAAGUUUGUAACAGUUUAAAGUUCAAUAGAUCCAUUUCCAGCAUGCUUCAAUAUUUUUAUAUUUCCGUCUUGUUUCGGUUUUGAAUAGCAUUCCAUUAUUUAUUUGCUUCUUGGAACAUGGAAGCUGAUGGGAUUCUUUGUUUAUAAUGCUAAUCAUUCGUAAUACUCAUCGAUAGUACAUUAAGUAGCCAAUUUGUUUAUACUACUAGGAUUUAUUCUUUUAAUGAACUUGUUUGGAUGAGUAGCUUAUGUUUAGAAGAAAUUUUUGUUUUGUGUUUAGAAGAAAUUGAUUAUUUUUGGGGUUCUUACAGCUGAAAUUUCAAAUUGAUUAAUUGUUAAAUUUCUUAAUUUUGUGUUCUUUCUUGAUGGAACAGAUUUGUUUACUAGAGAAAUUGAUAUUCAAGCAGUUAACGUUGUUAUCAAUUCAAACAUCUCUUUUUAUAUAAUUAUAGGCCAUGUGUGUUUUGAAUUCUCAAAACAGGAAAAAGCAAAAUGGAGACAUCGAAUGGGACCUAUUAGUUUUGCAAGAGUACGUGUGACAUUGGUAAUACUUAGCAUCUUCGGCCAUAUACUUUUAAUCCAUUUGUAUUCCUCCAAUAGAUUGAUACGUUUUUAAAUAUCUUUUUACAUAACUUGUAGCGUGCAAUCAAAGAAAACAAUGAGGAACCACCAAAGUAUGAAAUGUUUAUUGAAACUCGUACAAAAAUGGGAAAGGAACUUCAGGCCGAUACUCAAAUUGCAAUAGUAAGUUUUUUAAAGUGUAUCAAUGAUGAAAUAUCAUUACUCAAUUUAUAUUUGAGUAUCGCUAUCAAAGAGAUGUUAUUUUACCGAAUGUGUACUUCUACGGAAAUAUCAACACUAUUACAAGUAGAAUGUUACAGAGAGAAAAAAACAUCAAAAAUUAAUUCUAAAAAAAUAGGUUGUUAUAAUGAAAUGUUAUUAUCACGACUGAUGGUUAAAUAAAGAACUGAGUGUAUGUCAAAUAUUUUUGUUGAUAAAUUUUUCUUUAAUAUAUAUUUAUCAGUAGCAUAAUUUAAUUUUAAUAUAUGAACUACAUCACUUAUGGUGAAAAAUAUUUUAUUUCUUUAAGUUUCUACCAUAUCUUUGUGGAAUUUUAGUCCUAUAUUUUUUUUUUGCAACAUACAUUUCAUAUAGUUGUUGUCUAAUGAGAGUAUCUAGUAUCUAUACAAGUUGUAUCAUGAUACAGAAUAUUAAACUUUUUCAAUAAAAAAAUUUAUUGAUGAAUAAAAUUUAAAUUAUUUAUUUAUAGAAUCUUUAAUUUGAUUUAAGAUCAUUUUGUGAUCAACCAAGGGGUGUAUCUUGUGACAUAUCAUUUUCUUAUAUCAAAAUGAACACAAAUAAUAGGGAAUUCAUACAUAAAAAAGUCAAAACAAAAUACAUAUAAAAAAAUAAAAGAUAUGGAACAAUUCAUAGCCAACGAAGAAGGAAGACAAAAAUAUAUGCUGAUGAUAUAUUUACUCUAGUGUUAAAUUUGGUUGAAAUCUCUUGCCACCAACACUUUACUUUCUCUAAAAAAAUAUAUUGAAAAAUUCAUAGUCAAUGAAGAAGGAAGACAAAAAUAUAUGUUCAAGCUAUAUUUACCUUGGUGUUCCAAAAUUAGAGAGAAACUCCUCAUUUGAGGUUAAAAGAAUAAAAAAAGAAGAAAUAAUGUAGAAUUUUACCCCAAUUAUGUGUCUUUUUUCAUAUUUGUUUAUUUUUAUUGUGUCUCCCAUAACUUGAUUUAUUUAUUUUAGGCGGAAUGGUCCGGUGGACCCUUGUACUUGUAUGAAUUUGUAUUGUGAACCCUUCUACUUAACAUUUUGUCAACUAAACACUUAUACUCAACAAAAUACAAUAAGUGACUAUUGACUAGACUUAUGUGGC